GCCUGAGUGGCUCAGUCGAUUAAGCAUCUGAUUUUGGCUCAGAUCAUGAUCUCAUGGUUUGUGGGUUCAAGCCCCGCAUCAGGCU
This 85-nucleotide transfer RNA is filed under the name Felis catus (domestic cat). It matches the Rfam family "tRNA". From Rfam's summary of the family: Transfer RNA (tRNA) molecules are approximately 80 nucleotides in length. Their secondary structure includes four short double-helical elements and three loops (D, anti-codon, and T loops). Lineage: Eukaryota; Metazoa; Chordata; Mammalia; Carnivora; Felidae. The record is from Rfam by way of RNAcentral.